GGCUGGGGCCCAGCCAGGCCAGGUCUCUGGCCUUUUCCCUGCAGCGAGCUGAUGAAUUUCCCCUUCUUCUUUUUAAAGUGACAUGAAGCUGGAUUUCUGUCUCUGUUACUUUCAGCCACAGGAGUUUCGCUGGCGCAGGCACCAUUUCUAGUGUUCCGGUGUACAGUGUCGUCCCGUCCUUUGCCCUCCUGUGGGCCUCAUCCUGAAACCACACACAGCCUGGGCCCGCCUGUGUCCUCAGCCGCACUGGCCUGUGAAGUUCAAGAGCCUGGUACUGGCAUCUGGUGAAGUCUUCUGUCUGUGUCACAUUAUGAGAGGAGGCAUCACAUGGAACUAAGUGUGCUGGACCCUUGAGCCACCAGCCUGGAGUUGGGGAAGCACCUGCUGUAUACCUUCCCUGGAGAGUGGGACAGCAUGAAACCUCUUUCCCCAGGAGGACAGGACUGGCGUGUGCCCCAAUGUCUUCCUAACCAGACUCGGUGGAGAAAUUGACAAGUUCCCUGUCAGGGCUUCUAGACAAGGUCCAUUUGAACCCACUGCUUAUAUCACAUCUGCUAACUUCUUAUUGGCCAAAGUGAGUCACACAGCUGGGCCUACUGUCCAAGGAGGGGCAGUGCAACCCAAUCAUAUGGGUUCUGCAAAAUUACAUGGCAAAGGAUGUGGUUAUCAAGAAAGGUACUGAGACCACGAGUCUGCAAGCUGAAGAUCUCAUAGGAGCUGCAACCGUGUCCCUCAGCCACCAAAUGUCUUGUGGCUGCUCCAGAACCCUGUGCUCCAGAUGUGGCUUCUUAAGACACCUGCCUGCUCCAGGAGAUGUUUGCAGGAGACUAUGGCAGCUUCAGAUGGCCUGAAAUGGUUCCAGAUGACUCUGCUGUACAGCCUGUCUGGAUGACUUUGCCCCUCUGACUUUGCCCCACUCCAGUCUGCAAAGAGCCUCUCCCUUACCCGUUAAGGCCAGGGCAGGUGGGCUAGUAUACUUGCAUCGGCCGCCUUAACUCAGCAAAAGUCUGUGGUUAGCAGGAGGAGACUUUGCAGGUGAGGAUCCAUGCUGUUGUCCAUAUACUAGCACUUCUCACCUUAGUCAGGUCAGUCUGGAUCAGCCUUCAU
Long non-coding RNA from Chinchilla lanigera (long-tailed chinchilla), 1107 nucleotides. RefSeq lists it as uncharacterized. The transcript has 6 exons. Lineage: Eukaryota; Metazoa; Chordata; Mammalia; Rodentia; Chinchillidae. The record is from RefSeq and is a predicted model, not a curated record.